This 748-nucleotide long non-coding RNA is filed under the name Nicotiana tabacum (common tobacco). RNAcentral describes it as "long non-coding RNA (NTAB_LNC000445)". The record is from RNAcentral. Lineage: Eukaryota; Viridiplantae; Streptophyta; Magnoliopsida; Solanales; Solanaceae.
CAGGUAAUAUCAUGUAAAUUCAUUUUCUUCGUUUUGAUUUCAAAUUCAAUUUUAGGGUUGUUUGACAUAAAUUUUAUAUAUUUGAUUGAUAUCUUUAUUUUUGAAGAUUUGUAUGUGACUUUGGUAAUAUUUGAUUUUUGAAAUAAGUAGAGUCACUUAAGAACAAGUAUCUGAUUUCAAGUUGCCUCAUAUAACACUAAGCCGAUGAAUCUAUCUCUCUUGCGAAAAGUCAUUAUGAGAAUACUACGAGAGGUAGCUAGAUUUUGUGAAGGUCCUUUGCUAGAUUGUGCCAGCAAUGUAGAAUAUAUGGAUGAAUAUCUAGGUUAUCCAGAAGGAUAAGUAGUGCAAGUCCCUCGAGCCAUAUGCACAUUCCAGCGCUGCUUGGAGGCAUUUAGAAUUUAUAUUAGUAAGCUACUAAAUAAAAAUUUCUUAUCAUCUCAUCCAAUGAUGAUAGAAACUUUCUAGAUUUCAAUGAUAAUAAAAUAAAUUGUAUGGCUUUGCAGAGUAUGGUAGCAAUAGUAGAAAUGACAGGAGAUCGAGUAGAGGUUAACGUUAAUGAAAAUCGACAAGAAAAAGCAAUCUGGUUCUAUAUACUUGUGGAGUGAUGGGUUCCAUUAGCGCCUCAUGUCAUGUCUUUUAAGCAUUGUAGUUUUUUUGCUUUUGAAGUAGGAAUACGUUAUGUCUUUUUAUGGAAUUUAGCUUUUUUUAUUUUAAACUUGUAAUUUCAAACAGAGUAAACUGUCAUGCC